This 378-nucleotide ribosomal RNA is filed under the name Apocephalus medius. RNAcentral's name for it is "partial 28S ribosomal RNA". It matches the Rfam family "Eukaryotic large subunit ribosomal RNA", at positions 1071 to 1413 of the family's 3401-position model. Lineage: Eukaryota; Metazoa; Arthropoda; Insecta; Diptera; Phoridae. The record is from RNAcentral.
GGGUAAGAACCUCACCUAUCUUGAUAUGUAGGUGGGGUUGUGAUAUAUUGUGCCCAGUGGGCCACUUUUGGUAAGCAGAACUGGCGCUGUGGGAUGAACCAAACGCAAUGUUACGGUGCCAAAAUUUACAACUCAUGCAGAUACCAUGAAAGGCGUUGCUUGCUUAAAACAGCAGGACGGUGGACAUGGAAGUCGUAAUCCGCUAAGGAGUGUGUAACAACUCACCUGCCGAAGCAACUAGCCCUUAAAAUGGAUGGCGCUUAAGUUGUAUACCUAUACAUUGCCGCUAAUGUAGAUGGUUUAUAUGAAAUCUCGGUUUUAUAUAAAUUUUGAAACAUUAGUGAGUAGGAGGGUACAAUGGUGUGCCUAGAAGUGUUU